Molecule: ribosomal RNA, 725 nt
Filed under: Bacillus sp. Bac69W1
Lineage: Bacteria; Bacillati; Bacillota; Bacilli; Caryophanales; Bacillaceae
Description: bacterial SSU rRNA
Rfam family: Bacterial small subunit ribosomal RNA
Source: RNAcentral
CUGGCGGCGUGCCUAAUCAUGCAAGCUCGAGCGGACAGAAGGGAGCUUGCUCCCGGAUGUUAGCGGCGGACGGGUGAGUAACACGUGGGUAACCUGCCUGUAAGACUGGGAUAACUCCGGGAAACCGGAGCUAAUACCGGAUAGUUCCUUGAACCGCAUGGUUCAAGGAUGAAAGACGGUUUCGGCUGUCACUUACAGAUGGACCCGCGGCGCAUUAGCUAGUUGGUGGGGUAAUGGCUCACCAAGGCGACGAUGCGUAGCCGACCUGAGAGGGUGAUCGGCCACACUGGGACUGAGACACGGCCCAGACUCCUACGGGAGGCAGCAGUAGGGAAUCUUCCGCAAUGGACGAAAGUCUGACGGAGCAACGCCGCGUGAGUGAUGAAGGUUUUCGGAUCGUAAAGCUCUGUUGUUAGGGAAGAACAAGUGCGAGAGUAACUGCUCGCACCUUGACGGUACCUAACCAGAAAGCCACGGCUAACUACGUGCCAGCAGCCGCGGUAAUACGUAGGUGGCAAGCGUUGUCCGGAAUUAUUGGGCGUAAAGGGCUCGCAGGCGGUUUCUUAAGUCUGAUGUGAAAGCCCCCGGCUCAACCGGGGAGGGUCAUUGGAAACUGGGAAACUUGAGUGCAAAAAAGGAAAGUGGAAUUCCACGUGUACCGGUGAAAUGCGUAAAGAUGUGGAGGAACACCAGUGGCGAAGGCGACUCUCUGGUCUGUAACUGAC